RNAcentral lists this ribosomal RNA (371 nucleotides) under uncultured organism. Its description in RNAcentral is "bacterial SSU rRNA". It matches the Rfam family "Bacterial small subunit ribosomal RNA", at positions 526 to 896 of the family's 1533-position model. The record is from RNAcentral.
CGGAAUGUGCAAACGUUAUUCGGAAUCACUGGGCUUAAAGAGUCCGUAGGCGGCAUGUUAGGUGAGGUGUGAAAUCCCCCGGCUCAACCGAGGAAUUGCGCUUCAAACCGGCGUGCUCGAGGAAGAUAGAGGUAGGCGGAACUGAUGGUGGAGCGGUGAAAUGCGUUGAUAUCAACAGGAACACCGGAGGCGAAAGCGGCCCACUGGGUCUUUUCUGACGCUGAGGGACGAAAGCUAGGGGAGCGAACGGGAUUAGAUACCCCGGUAGUCCUAGCCUUAAACGAUGAGCACUAGACCGAAGGAUCUCCACGAUUUUUUGGUCGUAGCGAAAGUGUUAAGUGCUCCGCCUGGGGAGUAUGGUCGCAAGGCUG